Molecule: ribosomal RNA, 1242 nt
Filed under: Triticum aestivum (bread wheat)
Lineage: Eukaryota; Viridiplantae; Streptophyta; Magnoliopsida; Poales; Poaceae
Description: partial small subunit ribosomal RNA
Source: RNAcentral
AUGAUGAGGACGGCGGCGGUGCUCCUCCUCCUCUGCCUUUUCGCCGUCGCCGGCAGCGGCGGGGGCGUAGCGCGGGCCGCGGCCGUAUGGGCGGAGGGGAUCAGGGCGACUGCGGCGGUGGAGGUCGACCCUGCCUGGCGGUUCCCUAGCCCGCGGCUGCGGGACGCGUACGUCGCGCUGCAGACGUGGAAGCAGCAGGCCAUCUUCUCCGACCCCAAGAACCUCACCGGCAACUGGGUGGGGCCCGGGGUCUGCGGCUACACCGGCGUGUUCUGCGCGCCCGUCCCGUCGUCGGGCGAGCUCGCCGUCGCCGGCGUCGACCUCAACCACGGCGACAUCGCGGGCUACCUCCCGUCGGAGCUCGGCCUCCUCUGCGACCUCGCGCUGCUCCACCUCAACUCCAACCGCUUCUGCGGCCUCGUGCCCGACACCUUCCGCCGCCUCGUCCUCCUCCACGAGCUCGACCUCAGCAACAACCGCUUCGUGGGCGCGUUCCCGACCGUCGUGCUCGACCUCCCGUCCCUCAGGUUCCUCGACCUCCGCUUCAACGACUUCGAGGGCGGCGUGCCGUCGGAGCUCUUCGACCGCCCGUUCGACGCCAUCUUCCUCAACCACAAUCGCCUCCGCUUCCAGCUCCCCGACAACUUCGGCAAUUCGCCCGUGUCCGUCAUCGUCCUCGCCAACAACCACUUCGGCGGCUGCCUCCCGGCGAGCCUCGGCAACAUGUCCGACACGCUCAACGAGAUCCUCCUCAUCAACAACGGCCUCACCUCGUGCCUCCCGCCGGAGGUCGGGAUGCUCCGGGAGGUGACGGUGUUCGACGUCAGCUUCAACGCCCUCGCAGGCCCGCUGCCGCCGGAGGUGGCCAGGAUGCAAAAGGUGGAGCAGCUCGACAUCGCGCACAACCUGCUGUCGGGGACCGUGCCGGAGGCCGUGUGCGACCUCCCACGGCUCAAGAACUUCACCUUCUCCUACAACUUCUUCACCGGCGAGCCGCCGUCCUGCGCGCGCGUCCUGCCUGCCGACGGCGACCGCCGGAACUGCCUCCCAAACCGCCCCGCCCAGCGCAUGCCGCAGCAGUGCGCCGCUUUCUAUGCCCGCCCGCCCGUCGACUGCGCAGCUUUCCAGUGCAAGCCGUUUGUCCCACCUCGGCCACCCCCACCGCCAGCAUACCCCGGCCCGUUGCCGCCAGUGUACCCCAUGCCAUACGCGUCGCCGCCGCCGCCUCCACGUUACCGAUGA